CGACCGCGACCCCAGGUCAGGCGG
RNAcentral lists this ribosomal RNA (24 nucleotides) under Veronica arvensis (corn speedwell). RNAcentral's name for it is "partial 26S ribosomal RNA". Lineage: Eukaryota; Viridiplantae; Streptophyta; Magnoliopsida; Lamiales; Plantaginaceae. RNAcentral also lists the same sequence under 2 other names. The record is from RNAcentral.